GUCCACGCCGUAAACGAUGAAUACUAGUUAUUGGGGGUAUUGACUCCCUCAGUGACGCAGCUAACGCAUUAAGUAUUCCGCCUGGGGAGUACGGUCGCAAGACUAAAACUCAAACAAAUUGACGGGGGCCCCGCACAAGCGGUGGAUUAUGUGGUUUAAUUCGAAGCAACGCGCAGAACCUUACCUAGGCUUGAACUCCUCAGAAUCCGGCGUAAUGGCUGGAGUGUCCGCAAGGAAAUUGAGUGAGAGGUGCUGCAUGGCUGUCGU
RNAcentral lists this ribosomal RNA (267 nucleotides) under uncultured bacterium. RNAcentral's name for it is "partial 16S ribosomal RNA". It matches the Rfam family "Bacterial small subunit ribosomal RNA", at positions 793 to 1055 of the family's 1533-position model. The record is from RNAcentral.